This 73-nucleotide transfer RNA is filed under the name Erinaceus europaeus (western European hedgehog). It matches the Rfam family "tRNA". From Rfam's summary of the family: Transfer RNA (tRNA) molecules are approximately 80 nucleotides in length. The record is from Rfam by way of RNAcentral. Lineage: Eukaryota; Metazoa; Chordata; Mammalia; Eulipotyphla; Erinaceidae.
AGGUGGGUGGCUCAGUGGUAGAGCAUAAAACUUGCAGUCAUGAGGGUUGUGGAUUUGAUUCCCACCCCAGCAU